GCGCCAGUAGCUCAGCUGGAUAGAGCACCGCCCUCCUAAGGCGGGUGUCGGGGGUUCAAAUCCCUUCUGGCGUGCCA
This 77-nucleotide transfer RNA is filed under the name Bacillota bacterium. RNAcentral's name for it is "Firmicutes bacterium (gut metagenome) tRNA-Arg". It matches the Rfam family "tRNA". From Rfam's summary of the family: Transfer RNA (tRNA) molecules are approximately 80 nucleotides in length. Their secondary structure includes four short double-helical elements and three loops (D, anti-codon, and T loops). RNAcentral also lists the same sequence under 1 other name. Lineage: Bacteria; Bacillati; Bacillota. The record is from RNAcentral.